Molecule: ribosomal RNA, 399 nt
Filed under: uncultured bacterium
Lineage: Bacteria
Description: partial 16S ribosomal RNA
Rfam family: Bacterial small subunit ribosomal RNA
Source: RNAcentral
CCUACGGGAGGCAGCAGUGAGGAAUAUUGGUCAAUGGACGCAAUCCUGAACCAGUCAUGCCGCGUGCAGGAAGACGGCUCUACGAGUUGUAAACUGCUUUUGUACGGGGGUAAAUUGCUAUACGUGUAGCGGGUUGAAAGUACGGUACGAAUAAGGAUCGGCUAACUCCGUGCCAGCAGCCGCGGUAAUACGGAGGAUUCGAGCGUUAUCCGGAUUUAUUGGGUUUAAAGGGUGCGUAGGUGGUUUGAUAAGUUAGAGGUGAAAUCCCGAGGCUCAACAUCGGCACUGCCUCUGAUACUGUAGGACUAGAGUUUAGAUGCGGCAGGCGGAAUGUGUAGUGUAGCGGUGAAAUGCAUAGAGAUCAUACAGAACACCGAUUGCGAAGGCAGCUUGCCAAGC